AUCGCUUCUCGGCCUUUUGGCUAAGAUCAAGUGUAGAAAGACAUACUAAAGUUUACCACAUUUUUCAAAUUUUUACUUCUAUUCACAUGUGUUUGCAGUACAUAUCAAUUACAUUCAUCAAAUGAAACGACA
This 132-nucleotide small nuclear RNA is filed under the name Fukomys damarensis (Damara mole-rat). RNAcentral's name for it is "U2 spliceosomal RNA". It matches the Rfam family "U2 spliceosomal RNA". Rfam says of the family: U2 is a small nuclear RNA (snRNA) component of the spliceosome (involved in pre-mRNA splicing). Complementary binding between U2 snRNA (in an area lying towards the 5' end but 3' to hairpin I) and the branchpoint sequence (BPS) of the intron results the bulging out of an unpaired adenosine, on the BPS, which initiates a nucleophilic attack at the intronic 5' splice site, thus starting the first of two transesterification reactions that mediate splicing. Lineage: Eukaryota; Metazoa; Chordata; Mammalia; Rodentia; Bathyergidae. The record is from Rfam by way of RNAcentral.